Molecule: long non-coding RNA, 724 nt
Filed under: Gossypium raimondii (Peruvian cotton)
Lineage: Eukaryota; Viridiplantae; Streptophyta; Magnoliopsida; Malvales; Malvaceae
Description: long non-coding RNA (GRAI_LNC007938)
Source: RNAcentral
UAUUAGAAACUUAAAAACAUGUCGGAUUAGGUCAAGAAGUGUCAUCUUUAUGAACACACUGCACAUAGUCAACCAUGGGAAGUGACAUCUUUAUGAAGUGUGCUAGUCGAUCUCCGAGGCUAAAAACCCAAUUUUGUGAGUUAUUAACGAAAGUUGCAUGGAGGGACUUUCAAUUCAGCAACAAUAGCAAUCUUGGAUGUUGUUGGGUCAACAAAUGCCAUUAAGGCAUUCUGGAUAAGUUGAUCUUAAAGGAACCAAAUGGUAUAGUCAGAAUUGAUUUGUUAACAAUCACUGGUAAUGCGUUGAAGGGCUAGAUUAAAACCAAUUUGAUGGCCAAAGAGAUCAUGGUCAUGCAUGAGCAUUGAAAAUUGUACUUUCUAGGUCGAAAAUUUGAUAUUCCUAAUUAAUGUUAUAGGGAGUUAAGAGGUGGGGUUGAAUUAUUCGUCGUAGUAUGAUUAAUGUUUUAUUAGCUUCGAAAAUGAGAGUAUUGAUAGAAACCAUUCAAUAUAACAACUACUAGUAGGCUUGUUUAUGCAUGAAACAAUAGGGAUAUUUUUAUCAAAAUUGUGCAAUUUUUGCUAGCUCUGAUGCCAUAUAAACAUAAAAAUAAGGAAUAAAAUGUCAAUGAUCCUUGUUCAUUCAUCAAUAGGUUUUUAAAGACAAAUCAAUGAUCAACAAAACUAAUAACUACUUCCAUGAGACUCUCCUAUAAUGAAGGAAACUC